UCCAGCAAUGCCGCGUGUGUGAAGAAGGCCUUCGGGUUGUAAAGCACUUUUGUCCGGAAAGAAAUCCUUGGCUCUAAUACAGUCGGGGGAUGACGGUACCGGAAGAAUAAGCACCGGCUAACUACGUGCCAGCAGCCGCGGUAAUACGUAGGGUGCAAGCGUUAAUCGGAAUUACUGGGCGUAAAGCGUGCGCAGGCGGUUUGCUAAGACCGAUGUGAAAUCCCCGGGCUCAACCUGGGAACUGCAUUGGUGACUGGCAGGCUAGAGUAUGGCAGAGGGGGGUAGAAUUCCACGUGUAGCAGUGAAAUGCGUAGAGAUGUGGAGGAAUACCGAUGGCGAAGGCAGCCCCCUGGGCCAAUACUGACGCUCAUGCACGAAAGCGUGGGGAGCAAACAGGAUUAGAUACCCUGGUAGUCCACGCCCUAAACGAUGUCAACUAGUUGUUGGGGAUUCAUUUCCUUAGUAACGUAGCU
RNAcentral lists this ribosomal RNA (473 nucleotides) under Burkholderia sp. ED20. RNAcentral describes it as "bacterial SSU rRNA". It matches the Rfam family "Bacterial small subunit ribosomal RNA", at positions 387 to 853 of the family's 1533-position model. Lineage: Bacteria; Pseudomonadati; Pseudomonadota; Betaproteobacteria; Burkholderiales; Burkholderiaceae. The record is from RNAcentral.